Molecule: ribosomal RNA, 705 nt
Filed under: uncultured Acinetobacter sp.
Lineage: Bacteria; Pseudomonadati; Pseudomonadota; Gammaproteobacteria; Moraxellales; Moraxellaceae
Description: bacterial SSU rRNA
Rfam family: Bacterial small subunit ribosomal RNA
Source: RNAcentral
UGCAAGUCGAGCGGAGAGAGGUAGCUUGCUACUGAUCUUAGCGGCGGACGGGUGAGUAAUGCUUAGGAAUCUGCCUAUUAGUGGGGGACAACAUUUCGAAAGGAAUGCUAAUACCGCAUACGUCCUACGGGAGAAAGCAGGGGAUCUUCGGACCUUGCGCUAAUAGAUGAGCCUAAGUCGGAUUAGCUAGUUGGUGGGGUAAAGGCCUACCAAGGCGACGAUCUGUAGCGGGUCUGAGAGGAUGAUCCGCCACACUGGGACUGAGACACGGCCCAGACUCCUACGGGAGGCAGCAGUGGGGAAUAUUGGACAAUGGGCGGAAGCCUGAUCCAGCCAUGCCGCGUGUGUGAAGAAGGCCUUAUGGUUGUAAAGCACUUUAAGCGAGGAGGAGGCUACUUUAGUUAAUACCUAGAGAUAGUGGACGUUACUCGCAGAAUAAGCACCGGCUAACUCUGUGCCAGCAGCCGCGGUAAUACAGAGGGUGCAAGUGUUAAUCGGAUUUACUGGGCGUAAAGCGCGCGUAGGCGGCUAAUUAAGUCAAAUGUGAAAUCCCCGAGCUUAACUUGGGAAUUGCAUUCGAUACUGGUUAGCUAGAGUGUGGGAGAGGAUGGUAGAAUUCCAGGUGUAGCGGUGAAAUGCGUAGAGAUCUGGAGGAAUACCGAUGGCGAAGGCAGCCAUCUGGCCUAACACUGACGCUGAGGUGCG